UGGCGGACGGGUGAGUAACGCGUGGGGAACCUGCCCUGUACAGGGGGAUAACACUUAGAAAUAGGUGCUAAUACCGCAUAAGCGCACAGUAUCGCAUGAUACAGUGUGGAAAAACUCCGGUGGUACAGGAUGGACCCGCGUCUGAUUAGCUGGUUGGCGGGGUAACGGCCCACCAAGGCGACGAUCAGUAGCCGGCCUGAGAGGGUGAACGGCCACAUUGGGACUGAGACACGGCCCAAACUCCUACGGGAGGCAGCAG
RNAcentral lists this ribosomal RNA (259 nucleotides) under uncultured bacterium. RNAcentral describes it as "partial 16S ribosomal RNA". It matches the Rfam family "Bacterial small subunit ribosomal RNA", at positions 96 to 354 of the family's 1533-position model. The record is from RNAcentral.